UACAGAGGUCCCAAGCGUUGUUCGGAUUCACUGGGCGUAAAGGGUGCGUAGGCGGUCAGGUAAGUCUGAUGUGAAAUCUCUGGGCUUAACCCAGAAAUGGCAUUGGAUACUAUUUGGCUUGAGAGUUGGAGGGGGGACUGGAAUUCUUGGUGUAGCAGUGAAAUGCGUAGAUAUCAAGAGGAACACCAGUGGCGAAGGCGAGUCUCUGGACAUUUCCUGACGCUGAGGCACGAAAGCCAGGGGAGCAAACGGG
RNAcentral lists this ribosomal RNA (253 nucleotides) under uncultured bacterium. Its description in RNAcentral is "partial 16S ribosomal RNA". It matches the Rfam family "Bacterial small subunit ribosomal RNA", at positions 524 to 776 of the family's 1533-position model. The record is from RNAcentral.